This 68-nucleotide transfer RNA is filed under the name Augomonoctenus smithi. RNAcentral's name for it is "tRNA-Leu". The record is from RNAcentral. Lineage: Eukaryota; Metazoa; Arthropoda; Insecta; Hymenoptera; Diprionidae.
ACUAUUUUGACAGAUGUUAUGUAAUAAAUUUAGAAUUUAUUUAAGUAUUAUUAUUAAUACAUAUAGUA